This 447-nucleotide ribosomal RNA is filed under the name uncultured bacterium. RNAcentral's name for it is "bacterial SSU rRNA". It matches the Rfam family "Bacterial small subunit ribosomal RNA", at positions 330 to 794 of the family's 1533-position model. The record is from RNAcentral.
CCCAGACUCCUACGGGAGGCAGCAGUGGGGAAUAUUGCACAAUGGGGGGAACCCUGAUGCAGCGACGCCGCGUGGGUGAAGGAGUACUUCGGUACGUAAAGCCCUAUCAGCAGGAAAGAAAAUGACGGUACCUGACUAAGAAGCCCCGGCUAACUACGUGCCAGCAGCCGCGGUAAUACGUAGGGGGCAAGCGUUAUCCGGAUUUACUGGGUGUAAAGGGAGCGUAGACGGCAGUGCAAGUCCGGAGUGAAAGCCCGGGGCUCAACCCUGGGACUGCUCUGGAAACUGUAAAGCUGGAGUGCGGGAGGGGCAGGCGGAAUUCCUGGUGUAGCGGUGAAAUGCGUAGAUAUCAGGAGGAACACCGGCGGCGAAGGCGGCCUGCUGGACCGUAACUGACGUUGAGGCUCGAAAGUGUGGGUAGCAAACAGGAUUAGAUACCCUAGUAAA